GUUGACCCGCGGCGAGAGCCACGAUUCGGACCGGCUCCAUCCCCGGGUUCGGAGGUCGACUGGGCGGUGAUAGGCGGCGAUCCCGACGUCGGCCGCCAAGCACAUCGCCGUGCGCUGCCGGGCCGAGGAAGUUGCCUUCAUUAGGUGCAAGAAGGACACGUUCCCGGAGAAAUGCCUCGAUAAGGGCCGCCUGGUCACGAGCUUCGUCCUAGGCCUGCUGAAAGAGUUCCACGCCAAUGAGUUUGACUUACGCAGCAAAGAGCAGGAAGUAUUUGAGGAGGCAUAAUAACCGUGGGAGAUUGCUGCCCCAUGAUCCUCAAAUAAUCAAUGAUAUACGACCAAUCUGUAAGUUCUUCUAUGGUCUUUUGCCAUAGAAGUCUACUUUGGUUACUUGGUUUCAAUACUUUUAGUUCUUUCCAUGCCUACUGUACUGGAUUUCAUUUGAGCUAAUGUAGCUUAAGUUUUUUUUAAUGGAUGUGGAAAUAAUAUCUUGUGAAAUGAAGUGUUCUCUUGUUGUU
Musa acuminata subsp. malaccensis (wild Malaysian banana) is the source of this 518-nucleotide long non-coding RNA. RefSeq lists it as uncharacterized. The record is from RefSeq and is a predicted model, not a curated record. NCBI's taxonomy places the organism in Eukaryota, Viridiplantae, Streptophyta, Magnoliopsida, Zingiberales, Musaceae.